This 324-nucleotide ribosomal RNA is filed under the name uncultured eukaryote. RNAcentral's name for it is "partial 18S ribosomal RNA". It matches the Rfam family "Eukaryotic small subunit ribosomal RNA", at positions 1470 to 1796 of the family's 1831-position model. The record is from RNAcentral.
CCCUUAGAUGUCCUGGGCUGCACGCGCGCUACACUGAUGUGUCCAGUAAGCACCUAACCUCUUCCGAAAGGAACGGGUAACCUUUGCAAUGCACAUCGUGAUGGGGAUAGAUUAUUGCAAUUAUUAGUCUUGAACGAGGAAUUCCUAGUAAGCACAAGUCAUCAGCUUGUGUUGAUUACGUCCCUGCCCUUUGUACACACCGCCCGUCGCUCCUACCGAUUGAAUGUUCCGGUGAGCUCUUCGGACUGCGCGGUCUGCAGUUUCUGCGUUCCGUGCGGAAAGUUGCGCAAACCUUAACAUUUAGAGGAAGGAGAAGUCGUAACA